UAGGGAAUCUUCCGCAAUGGACGCAAGUCUGACGGAGCAACGCCGCGUGAGUGAAGAAGGAUUUCGGUUCGUAAAACUCUGUUGUUAGAGAAGAACAGCGCAUAGAGUAACUGUUAUGCGUGUGACGGUAUCUAACCAGAAAGCCACGGCUAACUACGUGCCAGCAGCCGCGGUAAUACGUAGGUGGCAAGCGUUGUCCGGAUUUAUUGGGCGUAAAGCGAGCGCAGGCGGUCAAUUAAGUCUGAUGUGAAAGCCCCCGGCUCAACCGGGGAUGGUCAUUGGAAACUGGUUGACUUGAGUGCAGAAGAGGAGAGUGGAAUUCCAUGUGUAGCGGUGAAAUGCGUAGAUAUAUGGAGGAACACCAGUGGCGAAGGCGACUCUCUGGUCUGUAACUGACGCUGAGGUUCGAAAGCGUGGGUAGCAAACAGG
RNAcentral lists this ribosomal RNA (429 nucleotides) under Bacteroidota bacterium. RNAcentral's name for it is "Bacteroidetes bacterium partial 16S ribosomal RNA". It matches the Rfam family "Bacterial small subunit ribosomal RNA", at positions 355 to 776 of the family's 1533-position model. The record is from RNAcentral. Lineage: Bacteria; Pseudomonadati; Bacteroidota.